This is a long non-coding RNA of Acanthaster planci (crown-of-thorns starfish), 236 nucleotides long. The record is from RefSeq and is a predicted model, not a curated record. NCBI's taxonomy places the organism in Eukaryota, Metazoa, Echinodermata, Asteroidea, Valvatida, Acanthasteridae.
CAUGGCUUGCCCCAUCAGGGAGCUCAUCCUGCCGACGACAAAGCCACAAAUCAUCAAACUCUACGCGGCAGGGUCAGCAAGGGCUGCAUUUCCAAUAUGCACAGAAUGGACUCGACAAGAAGUACGCGGUCUCAUCAACCGUUCAAGAGGUUGGCAUCUUUGAGUUUCUUCUCGGCGAUGCGGAGGUUCGUCUGGUAGCUGUCAUUGUCUGGCUCGAGCUCCACUGCCUUGGCGUA